CCUACGGGGGGCUGCAGUAGGGAAUCUUCCGCAAUGGACGAAAGUCUGACGGGGCAACGCCGCGUGAGCGAAGAAGGUCUUCGGAUCGUAAAGCUCUGUUGUUAGGGAAGAACAAGUACGGGAGGAAAUGACCGUACCUUGACGGUACCUAACGAGGAAGCCACGGCUAACUACGUGCCAGCAGCCGCGGUAAUACGUAGGUGGCAAGCGUUGUCCGGAAUUAUUGGGCGUAAAGCGCGUGCAGGCGGUCCUUUAAGUCUGAUGUGAAAUCUUGCGGCUCAACCGUAAGCGGUCAUUGGAAACUGGGAGGCUUGAGUGCAGAAGAGGAAAGCGGAAUUCCACGGGGAGCGGUGAAAUGCGUAGGGAUGUGGAGGAACACCAGGUGGGAAGGCGGGUUUCUGGGCUGUAACUGACGCUGAGGCGCGAAAGCGUUAGGAGCAAACAGGAUUAGAUACCCCUGUAGGC
This 465-nucleotide ribosomal RNA is filed under the name uncultured bacterium. RNAcentral describes it as "bacterial SSU rRNA". It matches the Rfam family "Bacterial small subunit ribosomal RNA", at positions 338 to 795 of the family's 1533-position model. The record is from RNAcentral.